UAGGUCUAGGCCUGGUGACGCUCCGGCAGAAGCGAAAGACGUGUAGCGUUUAAUAAUUAUACAGGGUGGAAUUUUUAACUGGAAUAAAAUCAUUAGGGAGCCUAUUUGUUGAAAAAAUAAAAUCGUGACAAAAAAAGUGUCCGAGACAAAACAGUCAAUCUUAAAAAAUAAAUUGUUUAGCCAAAAACGACCGAACCGUGAAAUUUAAUAUUGAGAAGGAUAUUUAUUGACAAAAAUUGCGUUCUCUGACAUCAUCCCCUCACUUCCCAGAGUGUCCAUGUCAAUUUUUUUAAACGGGAAUAGGGGUCGAGUUAAAAAAAAUUAUUAAAGAGGAGAAUCCUUUCCGCUAAGGAAACACACCACAGUUUUGCAAGCAGAGGAUUUGCUAUACUUGAAGUAGCAAACAAACGGGAAGCAAUCGAAGGGAACGAACUAGCAAGACAAGGUUCUGUUUCCUCCACUUCACCGAAACCCU
Long non-coding RNA from Anthonomus grandis grandis, 475 nucleotides. RefSeq lists it as uncharacterized. NCBI's taxonomy places the organism in Eukaryota, Metazoa, Arthropoda, Insecta, Coleoptera, Curculionidae. The transcript is spliced from 3 exons. The record is from RefSeq and is a predicted model, not a curated record.